CCGUGACGCUGGCGGUAUGCUUAACACAUGCAAGUCGAACGGAAACGAAACUAGCUUGCUAGUAGGCGUCGAGUGGCGGACGGGUGAGUAACGCGUAGGAAUCUGCCUGAUAGUGGGGGAUAGCCCGAAGAAAUUCGGAUUAAUACCGCAUAAUCUAUUCGUAGUAAAGUGGGGGACUUUCGAGCCUCACGCUAUCAGAUGAGCCUGCGUAAGAUUAGCUUGUUGGUAGGGUAAAAGCCUACCAAGGCAACGAUCUUUAGCUGGUCUGAGAGGAUGAUCAGCCACAUCGGGACUGAGACACGGCCCGAACUCCUACGGGAGGCAGCAGUGGGGAAUAUUGGACAAUGGGGGCAACCCUGAUCCAGCAAUACCGCGUGUGUGAAGAAGGCCUGAGGGUUGUAAAGCACUUUCAAUUGUGAAGAAAAGUCAACGGUUAAUAACCGUUGACCUUGACGUUAACUUUAGAAGAAGCACCGGCUAACUCCGUGCCAGCAGCCGCGGUAAUACGGAGGGUGCAAGCGUUAAUCGGAAUUACUGGGCGUAAAGCGUGCGUAGGCGGUUUAUUAAGUCAGAUGUGAAAGCCCCGGGCUUAACCUGGGAACUGCAUUUGAAACUGGUCAACUAGAGUAUGGUAGAGGAAAGUGGAAUUUCUGGUGUAGCGGUGAAAUGCGUAGAUAUCAGAAGGAACAUCAAUGGCGAAGGCAGCUUUCUGGACCAAUACUGACGCUGAGGUACGAAAGCGUGGGUAGCAAACAGGAUUAGA
Molecule: ribosomal RNA, 763 nt
Filed under: gamma proteobacterium SCGC AAA008-P05
Lineage: Bacteria; Pseudomonadati; Pseudomonadota; Gammaproteobacteria
Description: SSU rRNA
Rfam family: Bacterial small subunit ribosomal RNA
Source: RNAcentral